CCUACGGGGGGCUGCAGUGGGGGAUAUUGCACAAUGGGGGGAACCCUGAUGCAGCGACGCCGCGUGGGUGAAGAAGCGCCUCGGCGCGUAAAGCCCUGUCAGCAGGGAAGAAAAUGACGGUACCUGAAGAAGAAGCCCCGGCUAACUACGUGCCAGCAGCCGCGGUAAUACGUAGGGGGCAAGCGUUAUCCGGAUUUACUGGGUGGAAAGGGGGCGCAGACGGCGAUGCAAGCCAGGAGUGAAAGCCCGGGGCCCAACCCCGGGACUGCGCUUGGAACUGCGUGGCUGGAGUGCAGGAUGGGCAGGCGGAAUUCCUGGUGUAGCGGUGAAAUGCGUAGAUAGCAGGAGGAACACCGGUGGCGAAGGCGGCCUGCUGGACUGCAACUGACGUUGAGGCCCGAAAGCGUGGGGAGCAAACAGGAUUAGAUACCCGGGUAGUC
This 440-nucleotide ribosomal RNA is filed under the name uncultured bacterium. RNAcentral describes it as "partial 16S ribosomal RNA". It matches the Rfam family "Bacterial small subunit ribosomal RNA", at positions 338 to 795 of the family's 1533-position model. The record is from RNAcentral.